This 219-nucleotide unclassified non-coding RNA is filed under the name Hevea brasiliensis (rubber tree). The record is from RNAcentral. Lineage: Eukaryota; Viridiplantae; Streptophyta; Magnoliopsida; Malpighiales; Euphorbiaceae.
GAACCUAAUAUUCCAUUUUAACAACUGCAUUUGAAGUCUCCAUUGACAAUGCCGACGAUCCAUAUUGGAGCCAAUCCUUAGCACAAACAAGGGCUUCAAGUGUCACAGGUCGCAAUGAACUCCGGUAGCUAUCUAUCUUUUUACUUCCAGUGUCAAAUACAGAGUCUGGAGCAACAGUAGAAAUUGGUACUGACAAAAUAUCAGCAGCCAUCUUAGAGA